Long non-coding RNA from Gadus chalcogrammus (walleye pollock), 1801 nucleotides. RefSeq lists it as uncharacterized. The record is from RefSeq and is a predicted model, not a curated record. NCBI's taxonomy places the organism in Eukaryota, Metazoa, Chordata, Actinopteri, Gadiformes, Gadidae. The transcript is spliced from 3 exons.
GCUGAUGUGAUUAAAGUUCUGCAGUUCAGAUCCGCUGAUAAAUGGUCCCAUACCGUAUCCACAGCGUCCUCAUGGUGCAGGCGGUCAAACCUCCACCUCUUUGAAGACACCAAGCAGCUUGAUGACUGACUGGUUCUUUAUACUCCGGACCUCGUCCCAGAGCAGAGGACAGACCUAAGGCCUGCAGCGCAGCCGACUAGAGACUCCAUGUGGAACCGGUUCAGUUAAGUUGACCUCUCCCUCAGGCGACUUUAAGGGAGACCAGAUGUGCGGCAGCUUGGUGUCAUGGUGCAGAGACCCAACGCUGCACUGAACUACACCAGUGUGUCCUACUCCCAUAAACCCUGAGGAUCCCUGGAUUCAAUGGAGAGAAAGUAAUUAUUUUCUCCAUUAUGUUGCACCACAUUUUGGGGCGAGUGUUUGAAUCAAUCUUUGUCUUUUUUUUCUGUACUCCAUAUCUGUAAUCCCAGCUGUUGUAUUUUAACACGGUAGCUGGGACCCCUCUUUAUAGGGAGCGACUAGAGGGACGAGGCUGGAAGCAAACCCGAGCCUGGAUCUUAACCUUCUUUCUAAACCUAAUGCCGCAAUUUAACCGCAAAUAAAGUGAUGCCUAAAGUAACUUGACUCUCUUACCUAAACUCGCUUGUCUAAACUCGCUUGCAUAAAACCUAAACUCGCUUGCAUAAAACCCCGAACUUGCUUGGCUAAACUCGCGUCGCUUGCCUAAUGCCUGAACUCGCUUGCCUGAACUCGCUUGCCUAAACUCGCUUGCCUAAAACCUGAACUUGCUUGGCUAAACUCGCGUCGCUUGCCUAAUACCUGAACUCGCUUGCCUGAACUCGCUUGCCUAAACUCGCUUGCCUAAACUCUGAACUUGCUUGGCUAAACUCGCGUCGCUUGCCUAAUACCUGAACUCUCUUGCCUAAUGCCUGAACCCGCUUGCAUAAAACCUAAACUCGCUUAGCUUGACUCGCUUGCCUGUACUCACUUGGCUAAACUGGCUUGCAUAAAACCUAAACUCGCUUGCAUAAAACCUAAACUCGCUUAGCUUGACUCGCUUGCCUGUACUCGCUUGGCUAAACUCCCUUGCCUAAUACCUGAAGUCGCUUGCCUAAAACCUAAACUUGCUUCCAAACAACACGUUACACAAAGUUAACCAUCCAUAAUCUUUAACCCAAACCAGACUUGUCCCUGGGUCGCUCCACUUUAAUUUAGAAGUUUCUUUUUACCUCAUCUGCUUUUUGAGCCUCAUUCUUUGAGGGCUUGAAGUGCUUUCGAGGAUAUUUGAACCUUUGUUUGCCGCAUCAAUAAACAUGCUUUAUCUUUACCCAUUUUGUUUUGGAUUGCAUUUCUAUGUGUAAUCCGGCCAAAUGUUCAGUGUCCUUUGACGUAAUGUCUAUGGUCUGACGAUAAUCUGACCUCCAUGAAGCAGAAUGUGUGUGAAUGUUGUCCUGUGAGCUCCAGGCUCUCUGUGGGCCUGUCAACGUCUCUUUAGCAAAAGGUUGGGGAGUGAAAUUCAUUUUUGUGCCAUUUUCAUGUGUUCCUGAGUAUUUCAGACCUGUGGUGUUUCACAUGAGACCUUAAUGGGAACUUAACUUUUUCUGCCUGCAUACGUAAUGCCUACAUUAGUAGGGUGAUCACUGUUGAUUCCAAUAUUGAUCAUUAACCACGUCAUUCUUUUCUGAUUUUUUUCGAUAAGGAUUACAAAUCAUGUAAUUUAUGAGCAUAUUUGCAAAUGGCUCCAAAUAUCAGAUUGUGUAAACUAAUGAAAUGUAACCUGCUUGAUUUUAAAGAAAAUAAA